CAGCGCUCUGGGAAAAGACUAGUUGUAAGCACUAGAAAAGAAAAAAAAGCAAACUAAUUAGAGUGUGCUUACCUGGUGAAACCAAAAUGAAAUACCAUGCUGUCGUGCAGCUGUGGCUGAGAAUGAUGCAAUUCCUACAGCAAGUCAGCGUCCACUUGGACUGCACUGCAGAUGGCUGGAGCGCUGCUGGUGGCAGGGUCCACUAAGGACCCUUCCUCCCCCUCCCCUAAGUACAACAAAUCAUGGAGGGAGUGAAAUGUGGAAACUCGGGAAGACAGGUACAAAGAGAAAUACUUCCUCACUGACUUUUUGGGCUUGCUAGUGAGAUUUCUACAUGUGUUGCCUAAAUUCAACUAUGAAAAUAAACAUAAGCAUUUAUCAGGUGA
Molecule: long non-coding RNA, 386 nt
Organism: Chinchilla lanigera (long-tailed chinchilla)
Lineage: Eukaryota; Metazoa; Chordata; Mammalia; Rodentia; Chinchillidae
Exons: 2
Source: RefSeq, a predicted model, not a curated record